UACGGGAGUGGCAAGCGUUAUCCGGAAUUAUUGGGCGUAAAGCGUCCGCAGGCGGUCUUUUAAGUCUGUCGUCAAAGCGUGGAGCUUAACUCCAUUUCUGCGAUGGAAACUGGAAGACUAGAGUGUGGUAGGGGCAGAGGGAAUUCCCGGUGUAGCGGUGAAAUGCGUAGAUAUCGGGAAGAACACCAGUGGCGAAGGCGCUCUGCUGGGCCAUAACUGACGCUCAUGGACGAAAGCCAGGGGAGCGAAAGGGAUUAGAUACCCCUGUAGUCCUGGCCGUAAACGAUGAACACUAGGUGUCGGGGGAAUCGACCCCCUCGGUGUCGUAGCCAACGCGUUAAGUGUUCCGCCUGGGGAGUACGCACGCAAGUGUGAAACUCAAAGGAAUUGACGGGGGCCCGCACAAGCGGUGGAGUAUGUGGUUUAAUUCGAUGCAACGCGAAGAACCUUACCAGGGUUUGACAUCCUGCGAAUCUCUUGGAAACGAGAGAGUGCCUUCGGGAACGCAGUGACAGGUGGUGCAUGGCUGUCGUCAGCUCGUGUCGUGAGAUGUUGGGUUAAGUCCCGCAACGAGCGCAACCCACGUCGUUAGUUGCCAGCAUUUAGUUGGGCACUCUAGCGAGACCGCCGGUGAUAAACCGGAGGAAGGUGUGGAUGACGUCAAGUCAUCAUGCCCCUUACAUCCUGGGCUACACACGUACUACAAUGCUACGGACAAAGGGCAGCAAGCUCGCGAGAGUUAGCAAAUCCCAUAAACCAUGGCUCAGUUCAGAUCGUAGGCUGCAACUCGCCUACGUGAAGGAGGAAUCGCUAGUAAUCGCAGGUCAGCAUACUGCGGUGAAUACGUUCCCGGGCCU
RNAcentral lists this ribosomal RNA (857 nucleotides) under uncultured bacterium. Its description in RNAcentral is "SSU rRNA". It matches the Rfam family "Bacterial small subunit ribosomal RNA", at positions 524 to 1381 of the family's 1533-position model. The record is from RNAcentral.